This 496-nucleotide ribosomal RNA is filed under the name uncultured bacterium. RNAcentral describes it as "bacterial SSU rRNA". It matches the Rfam family "Bacterial small subunit ribosomal RNA", at positions 30 to 530 of the family's 1533-position model. The record is from RNAcentral.
AUUGAACGCUGGCGGAAUGCUUUACACAUGCAAGUCGAGCGGCAGCGCGGGGCAACCUGGCGGCGAGCGGCGAACGGGUGAGUAAUACAUCGGAACGUGCCCAGACGUGGGGGAUAACUACUCGAAAGAGUGGCUAAUACCGCAUACGAUCUAAGGAUGAAAGCGGGGGAUCGCAAGACCUCGCGCGUUUGGAGCGGCCGAUGGCAGAUUAGGUAGUUGGUGGGUAAAGGCUUACCAAGCCCGCGAUCUGUAGCUGGUCUGAGAGGAUGAUCAGCCACACUGGGACUGAGACACGGCCCAGACUCCUACGGGAGCAGCAGUGGGGAAUUUGGACAAUGGGCAAAGCCUGAUCCAGCCAUUCCGCGUGCAGGAUGAAGGCCCUGGGUGUAAACUGCUUUGUACAGACGAAAAGCUACUUCUAAUACCAGAGAGUCCAUGGUACCGGUAACUUGUAACGGAAUAACGGCACCGGGACUAACUACCGUGCCCAGGCCAA